Molecule: ribosomal RNA, 253 nt
Filed under: uncultured bacterium
Lineage: Bacteria
Description: partial 16S ribosomal RNA
Rfam family: Bacterial small subunit ribosomal RNA
Source: RNAcentral
UACGUAGGGGCCUAGCGUUGUCCGGAAUCAUUGGGCGUAAAGAGCGUGUAGGCGGCUUGUUAAGUCUUGCGUGAAAUCUCGGGGCUCAACCCCGAGCGGUCGUGAGAAACUGGCAGGCUAGAGUGCGGGAGAGGAGAGUGGAAUUCCUGGUGUAGCGGUGAAAUGCGCAGAUAUCAGGAAGAACACCGGUGGCGAAGGCGGUUCUCUGGGCCUUACCUGACGCUGAGGAGCGAAAGCGUGGGGGGCAAACAGG